Meleagris gallopavo (turkey) is the source of this 471-nucleotide non-coding RNA. NCBI's taxonomy places the organism in Eukaryota, Metazoa, Chordata, Aves, Galliformes, Phasianidae. The record is from RefSeq and is a predicted model, not a curated record.
GGAGAUGAAGCUGCCCCAGCAUUGCAAACUGCUAUAGCCUUGACUGCAGGGGAGAGGAUGGCCUGACUUUUGCUCAGAGAAUGGAUGCUGUCUCUGCUAAGCUUGCUGCUGUGACAAGUCCAGUAAUCCAGCAAUUAUUUCAGCAAGGCAGAGAAGAGGCAAAUGAAGAAUCAUAAACAUAUUGGAGAAUUUGGACUGCCCUAUGCUAUUUCCUUAACACCUCUACUUCAUAAGAUGUGUGUCACAUCCACAAAAACCUGGGCUCGCUAGUUUGUAGGAAGAAGUCUGAGCCUUUUAUUGCAAGAAGUAACCAGCUUGAAUGUAAAGUGUAAUCAUUUAUGGUGAGAGGACAUGAUUUCCACCUAGGAUGCCAGUCUGUCACAGAAGGAGCAAAAGGAUUGUUGCUGUGCUGUGGACCACCUCUGAAUUCAGGACAUUCCACACAUUUUAAUAACAUCUCUUUUUGAGGAA